This 433-nucleotide ribosomal RNA is filed under the name uncultured bacterium. RNAcentral's name for it is "bacterial SSU rRNA". It matches the Rfam family "Bacterial small subunit ribosomal RNA", at positions 29 to 507 of the family's 1533-position model. The record is from RNAcentral.
AGCGAACGCUGGCGGCAGGCCUAACACAUGCAAGUCGAACGAACUCUUCGGAGUUAGUGGCGGACGGGUGAGUAACACGUGGGAACGUGCCUUUAGGUUCGGAAUAACUCAGGGAAACUUGUGCUAAUACCGAAUGUGCCCUUCGGGGGAAAGAUUUAUCGCCUUUAGAGCGGCCCGCGUCUGAUUAGCUAGUUGGUGAGGUAAAGGCUCACCAAGGCAACGAUCAGUAGCUGGUCUGAGAGGAUGACCAGCCACAUUGGGACUGAGACACGGCCCAAACUCCUACGGGAGGCAGCAGUGGGGAAUCUUGCGCAAUGGGCGAAAGCCUGACGCAGCCAUGCCGCGUGGAUGAUGAAGGUCUUAGGAUUGUAAAAUCCUUUCACCGGUGAAGAUAAUGACUGUAGCCGGAGAAGAAGCCCCGGCUAACUUCGUG